GGAAAGGGGAGGAGGGCUAGAAGAUGGGUAGUGUUUGCUGUGGAUGGGGGCGGGGUGAAGAGAGGCGUAAUUGUGACCGCAAGCUGCUUUAGAGGGCUGGGUAAGGUUGUGACAAGGAACAAUGGGCUGGCUCAAGUUUUAUGAAGCGUGACCCAACAACAUCCUCUGAAGGCUGAUCAGCACCGGACUAGAAAUCACUGCAUGAGCUAUAUCCGUCAGAGACCCCUGAAACCCAUUCCCCAUUCUGAAGGUGUAGACAUCACAGACUGUGGACAGAAAUAGCUUCUCAGACUUGAAUGUAGCCCCAGACCCUUUGUGUCUGCCUUUGAAAGAACUCACAGCCAUGGUACAUCAGAGUGAAGGAGAAGAAAGAAUCCUUUGCCAUUGCUCUAUUUUUCAUUCAGUUGUCACGUUACCUUGAAAAUAAAGGUUUCAUCUCAGUGUUUAUAUA
Long non-coding RNA from Macaca mulatta (Rhesus monkey), 451 nucleotides. RefSeq lists it as uncharacterized. NCBI's taxonomy places the organism in Eukaryota, Metazoa, Chordata, Mammalia, Primates, Cercopithecidae. The record is from RefSeq and is a predicted model, not a curated record.